RNAcentral lists this ribosomal RNA (241 nucleotides) under uncultured bacterium. Its description in RNAcentral is "partial 16S ribosomal RNA". It matches the Rfam family "Bacterial small subunit ribosomal RNA", at positions 1259 to 1500 of the family's 1533-position model. The record is from RNAcentral.
GAUGUGGAGUAAAACUCAAAAAGCGGUCUCAGUUCGGAUUGAAGGCUGAAAUUCGCCUACAUGAAGUUGGAAUUGCUAGUAAUGGCAGGUCAGCAUACUGCCGUGAAUACGUUCCCGGGCCUUGUACACACCGCCCGUCACACCAUGAGAGUCGGGAACACCCGAAGUCCGUAGCCUAACCGCAAGGGGGGCGCGGCCGAAGGUGGGUUCGAUAAUUGGGGUGAAGUCGUAACAAGGUACC